GAUGAAGAACGUAGCGAAAUGCGAUAAGUAAUGCGAAUUGCAGAAUUUCCGUGAGUCAUCGAAUCUUUGAACGCACAUUGCGCCCACUGGUAUUCCGGUGGGCAUGCCUGUUCGAGCGUCAUUAUUCUCCCUCAAACCCCGGGUUUGGUGUUGGACCGAAGUUGUGUGAACAACUGGUCUAAAAAACAAUGACGGCGUCCGUGGGACCCUCGGUGCAACGAGCUUUUAGGAGCACGCGCCGAGUUGCAAGGACCUUCCGGGCCGGUCUCCUUUUACUAUUUUACAAGGUUGACCUCGGAUCAGGUAGGAAUACCCGCUGAACUUAAGCAUAUCAAUAAGCGGAGGA
Molecule: unclassified non-coding RNA, 346 nt
Filed under: soil metagenome
Description: partial contains 5.8S ribosomal RNA, internal transcribed spacer 2, and large subunit ribosomal RNA
Rfam family: 5.8S ribosomal RNA (bases 1-121)
Source: RNAcentral